This 35-nucleotide ribosomal RNA is filed under the name Steinernema abbasi. Its description in RNAcentral is "partial 28S ribosomal RNA". Lineage: Eukaryota; Metazoa; Nematoda; Chromadorea; Rhabditida; Steinernematidae. The record is from RNAcentral.
AAUUGUUAGCUCAAUAAUGAUCCUUCCGCAGUAUA